CUUGGCGACCAUAGCGUUUUGGACCCACCUGAACCCAUUCCGAACUCAGAAGUGAAACGAAAUAGCGUCGAUGGUAGUGUGGGGUUUCCCCAUGUGAGAGUAGAACAUCGCCAGGC
This 116-nucleotide ribosomal RNA is filed under the name Vibrio vulnificus. Lineage: Bacteria; Pseudomonadati; Pseudomonadota; Gammaproteobacteria; Vibrionales; Vibrionaceae. RNAcentral also lists the same sequence under 4 other names. The record is from RNAcentral.